GAUGGAUAACCGGGAGAAAUCCCGCCUAAUACAACAUAAUGCCGGGAGGGGACAUCCCCUGCCGGCCAAAGGGGGCGACCCCGGUCACGGAUGGGCAUGCGGCGCAUUAGGUAGUUGGUGGGGCAACGGCCCACCAAGCCGACGAUGCGUAGGGGUUCUGAGAGGAAGGUCCCCCACAUUGGAACUGAGACACGGUCCAAACUCCUACGGGAGGCAGCAGUGAGGAAUAUUGGUCAAUGGCCGGAAGGCUGAACCAGCCAAGUCGCGUGAGGGAAUAAGGCCCUACGGGUCGUAAACCUCUUUUGCCAGGGAGCAAUGCCGUCCACGUGUGGACGGAAGGAGAGUACCUGGAGAAAAAGCAUCGGCUAACUCCGUGCCAGCAGCCGCGGUAAUACGGAGGAUGCGAGCGUUAUCCGGAUUUAUUGGGUUUAAAGGGUGCGUAGGCGGCCUGCCAAGUCAGCGGUAAAAUUGCGGGGCUCAACCCCGUACAGCCGUUGAAACUGCCGGGCUCGAGUGGGCGAGAAGUAUGCGGAAUGCGUGGUGUAGCGGUGAAAUGCAUAGAUAUCACGCAGAACCCCGAUUGCGAAGGCAGCAUACCGGCGCCCUACUGACGCUGAGGCACGAAAGUGCGGGGAUCAAACAGGAUUAGAUACCCUGGUAGUCCGCACAGUAAAC
This 675-nucleotide ribosomal RNA is filed under the name uncultured bacterium. RNAcentral's name for it is "bacterial SSU rRNA". It matches the Rfam family "Bacterial small subunit ribosomal RNA", at positions 138 to 807 of the family's 1533-position model. The record is from RNAcentral.